GGUUGCCGAGAUGAACAAUGGGAGGUUUGGGGUGUGUUGUGGGGGGUUGUCCGCACGGUCGGAUCCUGGUAUCUUUUUGUAUACACUCUGAACGGUCAGUGAAAACAUUGUCGCCGCCAUCAACCCUUCCUGGUUAUACAGACAAAAUACAAAGGGGAAAUUGCUGCUCUACGAAAUGCCGAAUAAGUCUUAGACCUCUGUUUGCGCUGCCCGAUAAUAACGAUUGCGGGCACACCGAAUCAAUCCAUACUAAGGACGACGACGUUAAUGAAGGAACACCAGCACAGCUAGAAUUAACAGGAUGGAGGCUGGUUACUGGAAAUUCAGGAAUAGUAUCCUCGUGCUUGGUUGGUCUUCUCACUGGCGUCGCUGUUGUGCUCUUCAAUAAUCUAGUCCACGAAAUUCGUGAUUUGUUCUGGGGUGGGAUUCCCGAUCAGGGGGCCUCAUGGUUGAGAGAACAACCUAUUCAGGCAACCUGGACUAGGGUAAUAUUAAUACCCGCUUUUGGGGGCAUGAAUGUGGCCAUGUUGAAUCUACUUCUUCAACGUCUUGCUUCCGCCGGGGAAGAUCCAUUGCUUGGCAAUUCUGCUUAUCUCAAGUCUGCUUCCCAACCUAUUCUAAAGGCUAUGGCAGCUUGUAUCACUUUAGGCACAGGGAAUUCCUUGGGUCCAGAGGGUCCCAGUGUUAAUAUUGGUACUUCCAUUGCCAAAGCUGUUGGGUUUUUCUUUGACAAGAGUUCUAGCAGAAUGCUGUCUCUUUUGGCCGCUGGAUCUGCUGCUGGACUCUCUUCUGGUUUCAAUGCUGCUGUUGCUGGUUGUUUUUUUGCUGUAGAAUCUGUGUUAUGGCCCUCACCCAUAGAUGUAUCUAUAUCACUUACAAAUACUACAUCGAUGGUAAUACUUAGUGCUGUCAUAGCUUCGGUGGUUUCUGAGGUUGGUCUUGGGUCUGAACCAGCCUUCAAAGUUCCAGAAUAUGACUUUCGUUCAAUUGGUGAGCUACCAUUGUAUCUAUUGCUGGGUAUCUUUUGUGGCUUGGUGUCACUAGCCCUUUCUUGGUGCACUUCAUAUAUGAUAGCAUUUGUUGACAAUCUUCACAACACCACUGGCAUGCCAAGAGCUUUAUUUCCCGUAUUGGGUGGUUUAUCUGUUGGGCUAAUAGCAUUGGUAUAUCCUGAAAUCCUUUAUUGGGGCUUCGAGAAUGUUGAUAUUUUGUUAGAAUCUCAGCCCUUUGUGAAGAGUGUUUCCAUUGACCUACUACUUCAGCUAAUAGCCAUUAAGAUUGUUGCAACUUCUCUGUGCCGGGCUUCUGGAUUAGUGGGCGGUUAUUAUGCCCCAUCUCUCUUUAUUGGUGCAGCUACUGGGAUGGCAUAUGGGAAGUUCAUUGGUUAUAUUGCUGCUGAGUUCAACCCUAAAAUUCAUCUAUCUGUUUUGGAGGUGGCUUCACCCCAAGCUUAUGGCCUGGUUGGAAUGGCUGCAACUCUCGCAGGAGUUUGUCAGGUGCCUCUGACUGCCGUGUUGCUGCUGUUUGAACUGACCCAAGACUAUCAGAUUGUUUUACCACUUCUUGGAGCUGUUGGCUUGUCUUCAUGGAUUUCGUCUGUUGAGACAAAGAAAGGGGAUGACCGGGGCACCGUAGAGCACAAAUUUAUAAACUCAGAUUUAAUUAUUCUUCCAGAAAAAUCUCCCCGUAGUUCAAUUGGAUCAUCUAUUAAUUGUGCCAUUGCCGAAAGUGUGCCUAAUACAAGUAACUCGUGUCAAGUUGAAAGUCUGCUUUGUGUAGAAGAUGAUAUUGUUGAAACCACGCAUUUAAGAAGAAAAACAUUAGUUUCACAAGCCAUGAAGACGAGAUAUGUGACAGCCUCAAUGGGCAUACGGCUUACAGAAGUAUUGAGUCUCAUGCUUGCAGAGAAACAGUCUUGUGCAGUGAUUGUUGGUACUGAUCAUACUCUAAUUGGCUUAUUGACACUUAGAGACAUCCGAGAGAACAGCAAAUUUGCAAAAACACGAAGCAAAAAACCCAAGGAGCUUUUAGUUUCAGAACUGUGCCUUUUGGGAGGUGGAAUAUGUAAUGUUCCAUGGACUGCUACUCCUGAUAUGGAUCUUCUUUCUGCUCAAAAGGCUAUGAAGAAACAUGGAGUCAAUCAAGUUCCAGUUGUUGAAAAGCUCUGUGAAAGGGCAUAUCCAGUUGGCGUAUUAGACAGUGACAGUAUCAGUUUGACUUGCAGUGCUUUGGCCACUAAAGAAUCCCUAGCGUAAUAUGCAACAGUGGAAGGACAUAAUCAUCAUCAGAGAGAUGCAGAAUCUGCGCUUCAAUAUGGUCCUCUCCCCAAUAGCUGUCAGCGGUGUAAAAUAUUAACCGCUAGAUUGAUCUGACACUUGGAUUUCUUGGUAUGAGUGGGUGAUUCACUUUUAUCUAGAUGGGUAUGGAGAAGACGAUCAAGCAUUCGUCUGAUUACAUUCCUCUCACGCUAACCAACUUCUUGAAACGAUUCGCUAUAGUGUAGAAAGAAUAGAUCAAGUGCUGCAUCUGCUAUUAUCAGUUUUAUUUUGUCAAAAAAGGAUAUAGAGAGAGUUUGAGCCAUUUCAGUUUUAUCUAAUCAUAAUGUACGCAUUCACGUUCAUUUAAUGAAAACAACUUGUUAUUUAUAGACUUUUUGUUGUUUCUGAUACAUAUUUUUUUGCAACUGAUAUAAAUGUUCUAAUGUAGAUGUUGUUUAUGAAAUUUAUGUUGUUAUUUAUGGAGUUUACGAUAUGCAAAAUUUGCAAUUAACUUGUGCAGAUAUUUAUGUGUAUCAUAUCAACAAACCUUGUAUUGUAAAUAUAUGGACAUUGUGUUGUUAGCAAAUGGAUACUUUCAUGUUAUAUAAAGACCUUUUGUUCUUCAUUAACUUGAAAAACUUUUUCAAAUGUUCGGUUUAAUCAUACAAAUCAUGUGAAAUAGAUGGACAUUGUGUUGUUAAUAAAUGAACCUUGUCCUGUUAUAUACAGACUUUUUAUUGUUCAUAAACUUGAAAAACUUUUUGUUAAGUCUAGCCAACUGAUAAACUGGACACACAUGGACUUUCAAUUUAGAAUAUAUGAAGAUUGUGUUGUGCAUAGUGGAUAUUGUGUUGUGCAUUAUUUGCUUACUUGCGCAUUUUUUUAAGCGUAGCCUACUGAUAAAGUAGAAUCUUAUGAACUUUUAGUUGAGAAUAAAUGAAUCUUAUAUUGUGCAUGGUAGAUAUUGUGUUAUGCAUUGUUUGCCUAUUUGUGCAUUUUGUUAAGCCUAACCUACUGAUAAAGUAGAGUCGUAUGAACUUUUAGUUGAGAAUAUAUGAACCUUAUGUUAUGCAUAGUGGAUAUUGUGUUGUGUAUUGUUUGCUUACUUGUGCAUUUUGCCAAGUCUAGCCUACUAAUAAAGUAGAAUCUUAUAGACUUUUAGUUGAGAAUAAAUGAACCUUAUAUUGUAUAUAGUGGAUAUUGUGUUAUGCAUUGUUUGCCUAUUUGUGCAUUUUGUUAAACUUAGCCUACUGAUAAAGUAGAAUUGUAUGGACUUUUAGUUGAAAAUAUAUGAACCUUAUUUUGUACAUAGUGGAUAUUUUAUUGUGCAUUGUUUGCUUACUUAUGCGUUUUGUCAAGCCUAGUCUACUAAUAAAGUAGAACCUUAUAGACUUUUAGUUGAGAAUAAAUGAACCUUAUAUUGUGUAUAGUGAAUAUUGUGUUUUGCAUUGUUUGUCUAUUUGUGUAUUUUGUUAAGCCUAGCCUACUGAUAAAGUAGAAUUGUAUGUACUUUUAGUUGAGAAUAUAUGAACCUUAUGUUGUGCAUAGUGGAUAUUGUGUUGUGCAUUAUUUACGUACUUGUACAUUUUGCCAAGCCUAACCUAUUGAUAAAGUAUAAUCUUAUGGACUUUUAGUUGAGAAUAAAUGAACUUUAUAUUGUGCAUAGUGAAUAUUGUAUCAUGCAUUAUUUGCCUAACUUCAAUAUUUUGUUAAGCCUAGCAUAAUGAUAAAUUGAAAUCACAUGGACUUUCAAGUGAAAAUAUAUCACAAACUUUUUUUUCUUACAAUUGUCUUU
RNA transcript from Prosopis cineraria, 4053 nucleotides. It is a transcript of the gene named chloride channel protein CLC-e, with no coding region annotated. NCBI's taxonomy places the organism in Eukaryota, Viridiplantae, Streptophyta, Magnoliopsida, Fabales, Fabaceae. The transcript has 8 exons. The record is from RefSeq and is a predicted model, not a curated record.